AAAGUCGUAACAAGGUUUCCGUAGGUGAACCUGCGGAAGGAUCAUUAUCGAGUGUUGGGGUCCCUCGGGCCCGACCUCCCAUCCUGUGUCUCCUACACCAUGUUGCUUCGGCGGAUCCGUCCCCGUCAGGGGACCGCCGGGGGGUCUCUGACCCUCGGGCCCGCGUCCGCCGAUGGCCACCUACAAAAUUCUAUGAAACGUGUCGUCUGAGUAUACAAAAAAUAAAAGCAAAACUUUCAACAACGGAUCUCUUGGUUCUG
RNAcentral lists this unclassified non-coding RNA (260 nucleotides) under Ascomycota sp. RNAcentral's name for it is "partial contains small subunit ribosomal RNA, internal transcribed spacer 1, and 5.8S ribosomal RNA". The stretch from base 1 to 47 matches the Rfam family "Eukaryotic small subunit ribosomal RNA", at positions 1785 to 1831 of the family's 1831-position model. The record is from RNAcentral. Lineage: Eukaryota; Fungi; Ascomycota.